This 228-nucleotide unclassified non-coding RNA is filed under the name plant metagenome. RNAcentral describes it as "partial contains small subunit ribosomal RNA, internal transcribed spacer 1, and 5.8S ribosomal RNA". The record is from RNAcentral.
UCUCCGUUGGUGAACCAGCGGAGGGAUCAUUACAGAGUUCCACAACUCCCAACCCCUGCGAACCGUACCUCAGUUUGUUCUCGUUGCCUCCUGGCGGCGGGCCCCCGGCACCACCGCCGGGGCCCCCGCCAGCGGCGGCGAGCACCCUGAACCUUUUUUCCUCAACCAGCCCGUCUGAGCAAACAAACAAAUGAAUCAAAACUUUCAACAACGGAUCUCUUGGUUCUG